This 99-nucleotide small nuclear RNA is filed under the name Salvator merianae (Argentine black and white tegu). Lineage: Eukaryota; Metazoa; Chordata; Lepidosauria; Squamata; Teiidae. The record is from RNAcentral.
GUUCUUACUUCAGCAGUACAUAUAAUAAAAUUGGAAUGAUAUAGAAAAGAUUAGCAUGGCCCAUGUGGCACACAAAUUCAUGAAGUGUUCUAUGUUAAA